RNAcentral lists this microRNA precursor (76 nucleotides) under Danaus plexippus plexippus. Its description in RNAcentral is "mir-2796 microRNA precursor family". It matches the Rfam family "mir-2796 microRNA precursor family". The record is from Rfam by way of RNAcentral. Lineage: Eukaryota; Metazoa; Arthropoda; Insecta; Lepidoptera; Nymphalidae.
UGCUUUCGGCAGGGGUUUCUUUCGGCCUUCAGCUUUCUCUAGACUGUAGGCCGGCGGAAACUACUUGCUGACGCUA